UACAGAGGGUGCGAGCGUUGUCCGGAAUCACUGGGCGUAAAGGGCGCGUAGGUGGUGGCUUAAGCGUGCGGUGAAAGCUCGGGGCUCAACUCCGAGUCGGCCGUGCGAACUGGGCUCACUGGAGCAUAGUAGAGGCAGGUGGAAUUCCGGGUGUAGCGGUGGAAUGCGUAGAGAUCCGGAAGAACACCGGUGGCGAAGGCAGGUCUCUGGGCCACUACUGACGCUGAGAGCGAAAGCAUGGGGAGCGAACAGG
This 253-nucleotide ribosomal RNA is filed under the name uncultured bacterium. Its description in RNAcentral is "partial 16S ribosomal RNA". It matches the Rfam family "Bacterial small subunit ribosomal RNA", at positions 524 to 776 of the family's 1533-position model. The record is from RNAcentral.